This 2506-nucleotide ribosomal RNA is filed under the name soil metagenome. RNAcentral describes it as "bacterial LSU rRNA". It matches the Rfam family "Bacterial large subunit ribosomal RNA", at positions 523 to 2925 of the family's 2925-position model. The record is from RNAcentral.
ACCCCGAGAGGGGAGUGAAAUAGAUACUGAAACCAUUAGCUAACAAACAGCAAGAGCAUCUCGUUAGCACUCGAUGCUCAAAAUCAAAAUGUAAAAAUAAAAAUUCAAAAUUAUAGAUUUUAAUUAAAAAAUUUUGAAUUUUAGAUUGUGUAAGUUUGGAUUUUAAAUUUUGAACACCGAGUGCUAGCGAGAUGUAAUUGCGUGCCUAUUGAAGAAUGAGUCAGCGAGUUUUCACCAUGUGUUGCUUAACUCUUUUAAUAAGAGGGAGGCAAAGGGAAACCGAGUCUUAACAGGGCGUUAAUAAUACAUGGUGAAAAACCCGAAACUGAGUGAGCUAACCAUGAGCAGGAUGAACCCCGUCGAAAGACGGGGGGAGGUCCGAACCCGUUGUCGGUGAAAUGACAUGGGAAGACUUGUGGUUAGAGGCAAUAUGCCUAUCGAACUCAGAGAUAGCUGGUUCUCCCCGAAAUAUAUUUGGGUAUAGCCCCUCUGAUAAGUUUUAUGGAGGUAGAGCUACUGAAUGGUCUCGAGAGCUUUUUGCGAUCGAGAUCAAUCAAACUCCGAAUGCCAUAAAAUUUUCAGCGGGAGUCAGUCGAGCCGGGAUAAGCUGGUUUCGACAAGAGGGAAACAGCCCAGAUUUCCAUCUAAGGUUCCUAAAUAACUUUUAAGUGGUAAAGGACGUCAAGUUUCCCAUACAGUAGGGAGGUUGGCUUAGAAGCAGCCAUCCUUUAAAGAGUGCGUAACAGCUCACCUAAAUAUCAGGUAUUUUUUAAUACCUAAGGAAACUUGGCGCCGAAAAUGAUCGGAGCUUAAAAAGUUUACCGAAGAUGAAAAUCUGCUUUUAGCAGGUGGUAGGGGAGCGUCCUGACGACAGCGAAGCACAAGCGUAAGCGAGUGUGGAGUUGUCAGGAGUGAGAAUGCUGACAUGAGUAGUGAUUCUGCCGAUGAAAACUCGGCAUGCCGGAUACCCAAGGUUUCCUCGGCAAUGUCAAUCAACCGAGGGUAAGACGGAACUAAGGAUGGUAUCAAUCGGUACCUCCGAUGUCUAAGCCGUUAAUAUUCGGCUUCUUAAUAUAAAACGUUAUUACUCAACCUAUGACGAAACUUGAUAACCCUACCUUUCUAUAUGAAAGGCUAAGUUGCAAGUCUUUUCGCUUUUUAGCGAAAUGGCGAGCAACAAAUGCAACUUGAUCGAAAGAUCGAGGAGUAGGGUGACUUAAGUUUCCGGGAAAAGUAGGUUGAGGAGUUUUAUAUUAAACCGUACCGCAAACCGACACAGGUGGGUUGGUGGAGAACACCAAGGCAGACGGGUAACGAUGAUUCAAGGAACUCGGCAAAAAAGCUGAGCGUAAGCUAAGCGAGAUGCUCUCCCCGCUAUCAGCGGGGCGCAGCGAAAGUUUGUCAACCGACUGUUUAACAAAAACACAGGUUCCUGCAAACCUCAAAAAGGGAGGUAUAGGAGCUGAGACCUGUCCGGUGCUGGUAAGUUAAUCGCUGCGGGUGAUUCCGCUUUUAGUGGAAGAGCUUGCGGCGCAAGCUCCAGUGAACGACAGCUCUAACCCUGAGAGUUCUAAGGUAGCGUAACCCCUUGCCGGGUAAGUUCCGGCCCGCAUGAAAGGUCUAACGAGUUGACAACUGUCUUGAAUCAUCGCCCGACGAAAUUGAAAUGGCUGUGAAGAUGCGGCCUACUUGCACAUGGACAAAAAGACCCCGGGAGCUUUACUGAAGCUAGGUAUUGGCGAAAGGGAAUCAAUUGUUUAGCGUAGGAGGGACCCCGUCUUUGGCGGGGGACAAUGAAACACCUCUCUUUGAUUUCUUUUCGCCUUAUCCCGCUUUAGCGGGAGACAGUGCUUGGCGGUCAGUUUAACUGGGGCGGUUUCCUCCAAAAAGGUAACGGAGGAGCGCAAAGGUCAGCUUAAUCCGGAUGGAAAUCGGAUGGUAAGUGCAAACGCAUAAGCUGGCUUAACUGUGAGAGAGACCUCUCGAGCAGAUGCGAAAGCAGGCGUUAGUGAUCCUCCGUCUGGCGGUGAUGGCCGGCGGGGCUUAACGGAUAAAAGCUACCCCGGGGAUAACAGGCUAGUCGCCUCCGAGAGUUCACAUCGACGAGGCGGUUCGGCACCUCGAUGUCGGCUCACCGUAUCCUGGGGCUGAAGUCGGUCCCAAGGGUCGGGCUGUUCGCCCGUUAAAACGGUACGUGAGCUGGGUUCAGAACGUCGUGAGACAGUUCGGACUCUAUCCUGUGCAAGCGCUUGGACUUUUGAGGGGAGACUCCUACAGUACGAGAGGACCUAGGAGUGGGAAUCCCUGGUGUACCGGUUGUCCCAAAAGGGCAUCGCCGGGUAGCUAUAUUCCUUUUUGAUAAGCACUGAAAGCAUCUCAAGUGCGAAGCAAACCCCAAGAUUAGAAGUCCCCAAUAGCUUACCGGAAGAUUACCGGUUUGAUAGGCGUCAGGUGUAAGUCUCGUUAAGAGAUUUAGCCAAGACGUACUAAUUAGCGACUCUCCCAU